GUAACGCGUAUGUAACUUACCUAUAACUGAAGAAUAGCCCGAAGAAAUUCGGAUUAAUACUCCAUAAUACAAAUUUAUCUCAUGAUGAGUUUGUUAAAACUCCGGUGGUUAUAGAUAGACAUGCGUCCUAUUAGCUUGUUGGUGAGGUAACGGCUCACCAAGGCUACGAUAGGUAGGGGGUCUGAGAGGAUGAUCCCCCACACUGGUACUGAGACACGGACCAGACUCC
Molecule: ribosomal RNA, 229 nt
Filed under: uncultured bacterium
Lineage: Bacteria
Description: partial 16S ribosomal RNA
Rfam family: Bacterial small subunit ribosomal RNA
Source: RNAcentral